GUAAAUAGAACUUGUUCUUGGAAGUCACACUUUCAGUAUACCAUCAUAGUAUAGAGAUCAUUAUUAUGGCUCAACCAUUGAUCAAGGCAUUUGAGCCACUCUCGACUCUUGGCAUAUAAGCAAGAAUCUAAUAAAAAACUUACCUUAUGAAAUCCAUCAUUCUUGCAAUUAUAGAAAUUUAAUGAUACAAAAGAACAUCAAUGACAAAUUUACAGCUUAUUUGCAAAAGAGUUGGGGCACAUAAUUUACAAAUUUCACCUAGAUUUGAUGAAAUGAACAAAAAUUCCUACUUACACAACGUGAAAUAUAUUACCACCAAGAUUUGAUUAGUCAAAGCACACAUAUAAUGAUCACCAUGAUCCAAUAACAUAUAACCAGCUUCAAACCAGAACUAAUUACCAAAAAUUGAUAUAACUACUAAGAACCUUGGAAAAACUCCAGCAAGCCAUUAACCUCAUGCAAUAAGUAAUAAAAAAAUGCAACAAAUAAUUCCUACAAAAUUAGUUAUGGAAAAACCUCAUCUAUAGAUAUAAGGAG
Molecule: long non-coding RNA, 537 nt
Filed under: Gossypium barbadense (sea-island cotton)
Lineage: Eukaryota; Viridiplantae; Streptophyta; Magnoliopsida; Malvales; Malvaceae
Description: long non-coding RNA (GBAR_LNC011465)
Source: RNAcentral